Molecule: long non-coding RNA, 3873 nt
Organism: Bombyx mori (domestic silkworm)
Lineage: Eukaryota; Metazoa; Arthropoda; Insecta; Lepidoptera; Bombycidae
Exons: 4
Source: RefSeq, a predicted model, not a curated record
CUCCUGAAACAAAACAAACAUUAAAAUGUCAGACACGACAACGUGAAUGGCUUACAGCUGUCAGAUUUUAAUCCAACGUAUUAGUCACGUUAUAAACGCUGUUUGCCUUCGUGGCCUAAUGGGUAAGACGUGCCGUGUAGUCAUGUCACUUUCCCGGUCGAUACUCGGUCAGUUGCCAAUUUUUCUAACUAAUUGCGUGCCAAAUCGUGUUGAACGAGAUCCACGAUGAAGGAAUAACAUGGUUUUAUAAAUUUUCAGUCCAGACGUAUAAUUGUGAAUUGAGGAGGUUUUUUUUUUCAGUGAAUUUGUUCAAUAGUGACAGGCUAGAACCAGUAGCCUAUGGUAGCGUUUGGAGUCUAUGCCAAAAAAGCAGGGAUUUAAUAAUGGUGAAGAAAACGUUACUCAUAGAUUGAUAACUAGAAGUAGCUCACCUCCCAUAGAUACAUAUAGAUGCUCGCUCGUGUACAACAAUACAGAGCCGGCUAAAGAUCAAGUUCCGAAAAGAGCUUAUCAUGGACUAUAUAGUCUGGCAAAGACUUUUGUCAAUCGACUUUCACUACUAGAUGCUAGCAUUAUUUUUUAAGCUCCUAAUAAAUGUCAAAGCGUCGCCAAAGGCGCCACUGACAAAAAAAACAGAUGAAAAUAUAGAAGGACUGGGUGAAAAGGCUGAACUACUUGUUGUAAUUCCGUCCGCACGGGUACGUACCACCACCCCGUCUAUUUCAGCCGUGAUGUAGUAAUGCGUUUCGGUUUGAAUGGUGGGGCAGCCGUUGUAACUAUACUAAGACCUUAGAACUCAUAUCUCAGGUUGAGUGGCGGCAUUUACGUUGUAGAUAUCUAUGGGCUCCGUUAGCCACUUAGCACCGGGUGGGCCGUGAGCUCGUCAGCCCAUCGAGACAAUAAAAUAAAAAAACGAAAACUUAUAUUUCUCGUCAACUCAAUUCGGGAGCUUUCAACAUGCGACUGACGAAAGCGCCCUCGUUCAUAAAUAAAUACAAUCAAGGAUAUUAUUUUUAAAAUUAAUAGAAUUCCAAACGUAACGGCCGGUUAAUAAAUGGGAUUGCUUUUAGCAAAAAAAAAUGGUUGACAACACAUUUCUAAAUAUAAAAUAUUUUUUAAUAUUAAGAACACGUUGCUCACGGAAUAUCACGUAGUGGAAAAUUAAUUGGAACUAGAAGUUAUUCGUAAAUUGUACUAAUUAUGUAGUUGUCUUACGUCUUUCACGUCACGGGAUAAAAUGAGGAAUAGCCGCGAUCUACGCUUAGACAUAAGAUUGACUUUUUUUUUUAAUAAAGGCGGGAACGCUUUCAUUCCCAUCAAAUUGUAUGUUAUAGAAUGUAGGCAAGGAACAGCCAAAUCAAGAGAACUGCGGGAUCCUAUUUUACAACACUAUUGCAAAAUUCACUGAAGACGCUGUUGGAAAACUGGGUCGGAGGAUAAAAAGAUUCGUAGCUCACCACAGGUGUAAAUCAUACGACGGAUACAAAUAUAAAAAAAAAAAAUUUCCAUGAUUAACCGAGGUUGAAUUGAGACUUCGCGAUCCUAUAAGAAUAUAAAUAAAUGUAUAUAUAAAUGUAUAACAAAAAGUUAAAUUAUUUCAGCGAAGAGAAUGGUGUUUCAAACGUCACGCCUUUUUUAUUGCUUAGACAGGUGAACAAGCUCACGGCCCACCUGAUGUUAGGAGGUUACUGGAACCCAUAGACAGCAACAAUAUAAAUGCCUCCCCCAUCUUGAGACAUGAGUUCUAAGUCUCAAUUUUAAAGUAGCAGCGUCUGCCCUACCCAUCAACCCGGAUCGCAAUAUUGCUUCGCAUCAAAAAUGAGAUAUAAGCCUGAAAAAAUAAUGCUGUCAUUAUGCUUGUAAAUAACCUUAAGAAAAGUCUCGUAAGGUUUAUAUUUGAAUAUUUUACUGAGACAUAUAACCGUAUGGUUCUGUAGUAAUAUCUUACUGGAAAAGAUCAAGAGAAGUAGUUUUAUGUGUGUCGUUAACCCGUUGAGAGUUUCGUCCGUGUAAUUUGACAUUUGCACGGCACUAAAUAACAUUAGAACGGCAUUGUUCGUUUUAUUUUUACGACAAACAUUACUGUUCCAGUGGGAAUAGUUAGUGUCUACUGUCUUUACAUUUCUAAGUAGGCUGAAUGUUUGUUGUUGCAAGGGCUCCCUUUGCCUUCUAACUUUUUUGUUUGUUCUGUUUUGAUGUGUUAUGGCUGUGACAGAUGUUUUUGGCGGGAAGUUGAAGAGCGAUGUCGUAUUAAUUUUGUUUUUUGUUUUGCUAAUCUUGUAUUUAUUCAGAUAUCGGAUUACUCAUCAGUAGGUAAUUUUGAAAGUACACAAUAAGCGUAAGACAAUGAGAUAAAAUAAGAAAUAAGACAGGCUUUUCGGGUCUUAGCAAGAAAUUCGUGGAAGUUUUGGUUCGUAUAGCUAGUAUCGAGUUCAAAACCGGUCGGAAAACUUAUGCCAAUUCCUUAUGCAACAUGAUGAAAAGACACGCUGCGCCGGCCCCACAUAACGUGGGAUAAGAGGAUGAAGAAGAAGAAACAAACAAACAAGAAUCUCCGACUUCUCCGAGUUCUUCUACUGCAGUAGUAAGAAUGGGUAAGAAAUGGACGAGGAGAGCUGAAGAUUGGCCUUCAUGGCGUAAAUUAGCAGAGGCGCGUAUGCAGCAGUGGGCAACUGUCGGCUGAUGAUGCAGAAUGGACCAUAAGCCUGGGUUCUUGGGUGCGAUACGAAUGUCGGUUGUGAUGUAGGAUAUGAUAUCUUGUUAUUGAACGUUAAUAUCCUGUGCUGAUGAAUUGAUAUUUGUGUUUUAUUGAUUUAGAUUGGCAGACGACCUUGCGGCCCACCUGAUGUUAGCUGGCCACCGAAGCUCAUAGUAUAUAUGUGCUUAAGCUGAAAUACCCCCGCACACCUUAAAACCUGAGGUGAAAGUUUAGUCUAUAAUAUUUUAAUAAGACUACUCUGUCAUUGGAAACUGGAAACCAUGAUUACUUUACGGCAGCAAUAUGCAAAAUACUGGUAACAACUCGGACUAUUUAUACCAAAACUAGAAGGGACAACAUUACGAUUGACGAUUACGGUGAUUAUCCAGAAGACUUAACAACUCCGUGUUACUACUACCAAACUAUUCAGUUCCUAUUUUUCCAUUAGCCGUCCGUGGUGAUUGAAUCUUUUAUUAAUGGGAAUUUAAAAUCUAGCUUUCUCCCCCUAAUUCUUAUCUUGAGUAAUGAUAUCCGUUUGAUUAAAAAUAAAGAUUGACCAAUAUAAUCCAAGAUUCUCUAGGGUGCGGCGUCUACUGCAGAUUUCUUCGUUUGAAAUCUUUUUAAAUAUUUUUUUUUAUUCUUUAUAAUCAGUAAGCCAUAAACAAGUAUAGACGUUUUUAUUUUAUUAGCACUUAUUAUGUUGGACGGCGAACAAUUGAUAGAAGUUUAACCAUCGCCCAUAUCAUUAUCUAUCUAGGAACACUAAUUUAAUAUAAAUUUCAUUGCACCUACCUCUAUUUACUCUAUUACUAUUUACCUUUGGCUGACUAGUAGAGAAUGCCUUAAGUUAAGUCCGCCAAUGUAAAUUUUACAUCAUCAUCAUCAUCAUCAUCAGCCUUUAUCUGCCCACUGCUGGACAUAGGCCUUCCCCAAUGCCUUCCACAUAAUGCGGUCCUCCGCCUUCCGCAUCCAACGACUUCCCGCCGUGCGCACUAAGUCGUCAGUCCAAAUUUUACAUGAAGUGUAAUAAAUAAGAAAUAAAUCAAAAUAAAUAAAAUACCGCUAGACAUCAAUUAAAUGGUCGCAAUAGUUUUUGAUGAUAUCAAUUAGCCAUAUGGACCGCGAUAGGUAGCUUUACAGAUUUAUUUCAAUAAACAACUUUGACCGUAACACGA